This is a long non-coding RNA of Dreissena polymorpha, 317 nucleotides long. RefSeq lists it as uncharacterized. Lineage: Eukaryota; Metazoa; Mollusca; Bivalvia; Myida; Dreissenidae. The transcript is spliced from 3 exons. The record is from RefSeq and is a predicted model, not a curated record.
CUUUGCAACAGAUAACAUCCUUUACAAUGUGUCCAGUCUGCGAGUAGGUUGCAUUCGCCUUUAUGUCUCAGUGGUUAUUGCUGCAUUUCCGGUAACAGUUCGUCUUUACGGAGUAGAAGAUACCAAUUAUGUUGAGGUUGCUGUCAUGGUUAUUCAAGGAAUAUCGACAGUGCAAAAAACUGCUACAACCACCACAACAACAACUUCUAAAACAGUGUCUCCAACAACAACAGGGCCACCGACAACAACGGAGCCUCCGACAACAACAGAGCCCCCGACAACAACAGUUCCACCGACAACAACAGUUCCCCCGACAA